CCUACGGGAGGCAGCAGUGGGGAAUUUUGGACAAUGGACGCAAGCCUGAUCCAGCCAUGCCGCGUGCGGGAAGAAGGCCUUCGGGUUGUAAACCGCUUUUGUCAGGGAAGAAACGCGCUGAGUUAAUACCUCGGCGUAAUGACGGUACCUGAAGAAUAAGCACCGGCUAACUACGUGCCAGCAGCCGCGGUAAUACGUAGGGUGCAAGCGUUAAUCGGAAUUACUGGGCGUAAAGCGUGCGCAGGCGGUGAUGCAAGACAGAUGUGAAAUCCCCGGGCUUAACCUGGGAACUGCAUUUGUGACUGCAUCGCUGGAGUGCGGCAGAGGGGGAUGGAAUUCCGCGUGUAGCAGUGAAAUGCGUAGAUAUGCGGAGGAACACCGAUGGCGAAGGCAAUCCCCUGGGCCUGCACUGACGCUCAUGCACGAAAGCGUGGGGAGCAAACAGGAUUAGAUACCCUGGUAGUCCACGCCCUAAACGAUGUCGACUGGUUGUUGGGGGUUUGACACUCUCAGUAACGAAGCUAACGCGUGAAGUCGACCGCCUGGGGAGUACGGCCGCAAGGUUAAAACUCAAAGGAAUUGACGG
Molecule: ribosomal RNA, 586 nt
Filed under: uncultured bacterium
Lineage: Bacteria
Description: bacterial SSU rRNA
Rfam family: Bacterial small subunit ribosomal RNA
Source: RNAcentral